UAAGCUGUUGCAUAUAGAUUGACCGGCUACUGUACAUUUUGCUUAAUGAAUUUUAUAUGACAUUCUGUGUUGAAGUCUAAAUAAGGGUGUUUUCAGACCUGUACAUUGUUUGCUUUGUUUCGAAGCAGGGACUUAAUUUGUUACAAUAUUGCAUUUUCUUCUAAAUUUGGUUCUUGUUCAAGAGGCAACAUUGCAAAGCGUACAAAACUGUUUACGCAGGUCACAUGUGAGUAAAACUGUCAUCUAAUUGGUCAGAGUUCACCUGUUAACGUUCCUCUGCAUCAUUCAUCGAGAUGAAUUGAUAAGUUCGCUCCGCGUGCUUAUUGUAGCUUUAUAGCUAUGAAUGUAGCUGUUACUCCCGCUCUCAGUAUCCACUGACUAACCUCAACAUAAACAACUACAUUGAAAUAAGAGCACAUGCAUUUUUAUUUACAGCCAGCGGGUAUCAAGGCCUCAUCUAGACAGCAUUCCUGUAAUGCGCGGAGAAUAGCAAUUAAUUACACAUUUUAAUAUGGAGAGCUACUCUUUGGUUUUUGACUGCAAUAAAUAUUCUCACAGAAUCAGAAACUGAGUGCUGCUUUUAAUAUAGCAUAUUUACUGUUAUGAAUUAUGAUACUGCUUGGUUUUUUGGUCUGUUGGGUUGGAUUGCUUUCUCACCAUGAGUGAUCUCCAAUCCAGAGUCUGUUUGCAAUCACGCUGAGAUCACCUCUUCAAGGAGGUCUCUGUACACUUAUUUGGUCCACUUUAGGCACGCACCCGAGUCACACCUGCCCAAACGAACCACACCAAGAAGGACAACGAACUCCAGAGCGAUUCGACAAAUCUAAAUGAGGCAGGUGUAAAAGAACCCUAAAGAUAUGCGCUUUGUAUGUAUUUUGACUCAGAAUUGAAUGAAGAGUGAAUAGUUUGAAGCCCAAGUUGCGUGUGUGAGACUGCACUUUUAUUUUCUUUCCCAGAGCAAUAACAUCAUUUUGGAUGUUUACCCGUUUUUGCUGCUUAGUAAAAUUUCUAAUUGAAACCUGUGAAAUUUACACAACCGUGGAAUAAAAUCUUUUAUUGAUAUAUUUUA
This is a long non-coding RNA of Carassius carassius (crucian carp), 1069 nucleotides long. RefSeq lists it as uncharacterized. Lineage: Eukaryota; Metazoa; Chordata; Actinopteri; Cypriniformes; Cyprinidae. The record is from RefSeq and is a predicted model, not a curated record. The transcript has 2 exons.